RNAcentral lists this unclassified non-coding RNA (276 nucleotides) under Glomus sp. RNAcentral's name for it is "partial contains 5.8S ribosomal RNA and internal transcribed spacer 2". The stretch from base 1 to 65 matches the Rfam family "5.8S ribosomal RNA", at positions 84 to 154 of the family's 154-position model. Lineage: Eukaryota; Fungi; Glomeromycota; Glomeromycetes; Glomerales; Glomeraceae. The record is from RNAcentral.
GUGAAUCAUCGAAUUUUUGAACGCAAAUUGCACUCUCCUCGGUGAGUAUGCCUGUUUGAGGGUCAGCGUAUAAAAAAUCGAUAGCGUUUUUUGGUCGCGGUGGUGUUCGUCGGAAAGUGGGUCAUCUUAAAUCUUUUUGGUUUUUAAGCGACUUAAAAUUUUCUUUUUGGUUCCAUGAACGUUUCUAAGAUUUAUUUUUUUACACGUUUAAGGAAUCGAGUUUUAUUAGACGUGUCCAUAAUAUCGGAUCGCGUCCAUGAUCUUUUGUUAACUAAC